Molecule: ribosomal RNA, 2260 nt
Filed under: Bacteroides thetaiotaomicron
Lineage: Bacteria; Pseudomonadati; Bacteroidota; Bacteroidia; Bacteroidales; Bacteroidaceae
Description: partial 23S ribosomal RNA
Rfam family: Bacterial large subunit ribosomal RNA
Source: RNAcentral
UUUUCCGGCAAGGUUAAGCAUCUUGAGAUGUGCAGCCGAAGCGAAAGCGAGUCUGAACAGGGCGUCGAGUCGGAAGGAGUAGACGCGAAACCAAGUGAUCUACCCUUGGUCAGGUUGAAGGUUAGGUAACACUAACUGGAGGACCGAACCGAUAAGCGUUGAAAAGCUUCCGGAUGAACUGAGGGUGGGGGUGAAAGGCUAAUCAAACUUGGAGAUAGCUCGUACUCCCCGAAAUGCAUUUAGGUGCAGCCUUGUGAGUUACUAAUGUGAGGUAGAGCGACUGAUAAGAUGCGAGGGCUUCACCGCCUAUCAAGUCUUGAUAAACUCCGAAUGCGCAUUAGUUCUAUCACAGGAGUGAGGGCAUGGGUGCUAAGGUCCAUGUCCUAAAGGAGAAGAAUCCAGACCAUCAGCUAAGGUCCCCAAAUAAACACUAAGUUGAACUAACGAAGUCAGAUUGCUAAGACAGCUAGGAUGUUGGCUUGGAAGCAGCCAUUCAUUUAAAGAGUGCGUAACAGCUCACUAGUCGAGGAGUUUGGCGUGGAUAAUAAUCGGGCAUUAAGUGUUUUACCGAAGCUAUGGGAUCAGUAAUGAUCGGUAGGGGAGCAUUCCACUCUGCGUCGAAGGUGAAGCGUGAGCUUUGCUGGAGCGUGUGGAAAAGCAAAUGUAGGUAUAAGUAACGAUAAAGGGGGUGAGAAACCCCCUCGCCGAAAGACUAAGGUUUCCUGAUCAACGCUAAUCGGAUCAGGGUUAGUCGGGUCCUAAGGCUCAGCCGAACGGUGAGGCCGAUGGCAGAACAGGUUAAUAUUCCUGUACUACCUUAAGGAGUGACGUGGAGACGGAGGCGUGACAGCGCCGCGGACUGACGGAAUAGUCCGUUGAAGGGUGUAGAUGUUGAUUAUCCCAGGCAAAUCCGGGAUAAGAGUCGAACCUGAUAGUAUGGAGCGUUCUUCGGAACAAUCCAAUAGUGCGUGUAAUCAUACUCCCAAGAAAAUCCGCUAAACUUAAUCCUUGAGGUACCCGUACCGCAAACGGACACACGUAGUCGGGUUGAAUAUACUAAGGCGCUUGAGUGAUUCACGGUUAAGGAACUAGGCAAAUUGACCCUGUAACUUCGGGAUAAAGGGUCCCAACGAGAGUUGGGCGCAGAGAAUAGGUCCAGGCAACUGUUUAACAAAAACACAGGGCUGUGCCAAAUUGAAAGAUUACGUAUACAGCCUGACACCUGCCCGGUGCUGGAAGGUUAAGAGGAGAUGUCAUCGCAAGAGAAGCAUUGAAUUGAAGCCCCAGUAAACGGCGGCCGUAACUAUAACGGUCCUAAGGUAGCGAAAUUCCUUGUCGGGUAAGUUCCGACCUGCACGAAUGGUGUAAUGAUCUGGACACUGUCUCAACCGUGAGCUCAGUGAAAUUGUAGUAUCGGUGAAGAUGCCGAUUACCCGCGAUGGGACGAAAAGACCCCGUGAACCUUUACUAUAGCUUAACAUUGAAUUUGGGUAAUUGAUGUGUAGGAUAGGCCGGAGACUUUGAAGCAGGUACGCCAGUAUUUGUGGAGUCGCUGUUGAAAUACGGCCCUUUGAUUAUUUGAGUUCUAACUCGUGGUACGAGGACACUGUUUGGUGGGUAGUUUGACUGGGGUGGUCGCCUCCAAAAUAGUAACGGAGGCUUCUAAAGGUGCCCUCAGGACGAUUGGUAACCGUCCGCAGAGUGUAAUGGCAUAAGGGCGCUUGACUGGGAGACUUACAAGUCGAUCAGGUAGGAAACUAGAGCAUAGUGAUCCGGUGUUUCCGUAUGGAAGGGACAUCGCUCAAAGGAUAAAAGGUACUCCGGGGAUAACAGGCUGAUCCCUCCCAAGAGCUCAUAUCGACGGAGGGGUUUGGCACCUCGAUGUCGGCUCGUCACAUCCUGGGGCUGGAGAAGGUCCCAAGGGUUGGGCUGUUCGCCCAUUAAAGUGGCACGCGAGCUGGGUUCAGAACGUCGUGAGACAGUUCGGUCUCUAUCUAUCGUGGGCGUAUGAAAUUUGCGUGGCUCUGACACUAGUACGAGAGGACCGUGUUGGACUGACCGCUGGUUUACCAGUUGUGCCGCCAGGUGCAUUGCUGGGUAUCUAAGUCGGGAUUGGAUAAGUGCUGAAAGCAUCUAAGUACGAAGCCAGCCACAAGAUUAGAUUUCUUAGGGUCGUUAAAGACGAUGACGUUGAUAGGAUGCAGGUGUAAAGGUGGUAACAUCAAAGCCGAGCAUUACUAAUUGCCCGUUCACUUUCUUU